This 250-nucleotide unclassified non-coding RNA is filed under the name plant metagenome. RNAcentral's name for it is "partial contains small subunit ribosomal RNA, internal transcribed spacer 1, and 5.8S ribosomal RNA". The record is from RNAcentral.
GUAGGUGAACCUGCGGAAGGAUCAUUACAAAAGAAAGUAAAAAGUAGAUUCGGCUUCCUUCCCAUGAAGAGGUUGCUCGAGAGAGGCUAUUACGCAAGAUUUUUUCGGAUGUCGUUCUUAACGGGUUGGCCCCCCCGAGGGGUUGUUACCGACAUUCUUCUGGAAUCGCGAAAUAGGCCGGGAGUGUGGCAUUAGUAUCCUGCCCUUACACGCACUCUUCUCUGGUCUCUCGCCCAUUCUUCUUUGCUGG